GGGAGGAGGAGGAGGAGGAGGAAGAGCGGGGCCGGGCGGGCAGCUUCUCUGUCCCGUAAGCAAUAAGCCAGGAAGUUAUCCUGCAUUCAGAGCUGUUAAGAUUCCUUAAACAUCGCAUGGAACUGAUGGCUUCUUUCCUUGGGAACAUCUGGGCACAGCUGGAGAGGAAAAGUUCCAGAGACUGAUGCGUGUAGGAGAAGAAUGGAAGCAGGAGCCUGGAGCCUGCUGGGAAAGCAGAGAGACUUCUAAGAGGAGCAGGAAACAUCUGUAGAUUUUAGAUGACGAUCAGAGGAUGAAAGAAGAGGAAGCAGUCUUUUGGGACUCUUGCAUAACACAGCCGGAUGAGAAAUAGAAAUGUCAGAGAUCCUCAAAUCUAAGGAAGGAUUCGAUUUUCUAUGCAGAUAUCUGACUUGGCUCUGCUCGCACAAAGGCCAAAACUGGGAGUAUCGGGCAGCAACGCUGUUGCAAGAGCUGGAACAAGCUGCAUGUAAGCCAAGGCAAGGCUUGGAGAAGUACACGGUACUUGUGAGGCUGUCUCUACCAUUUGCAGGGAAGUGAUAACGCUGUGCGGCUUGAAUUGCUUUUGUUUGAGGACAACCCUUGUUGCUCCAGGAGGUUACUGCACCCAAAGGACUGCAAAGAGCUUUUCACAACAGCUGGUUGCAGACCAGAACAUAUGGGGGAUCCUCAGAUUUCAUUCAACAGGACCAUUUUCAUGGUAUAUUGUCUAGAUCUCAUUAUUUGCACACAAAAGUCAUGUUUUAGCUAUUUUGAGACACAGUGGUAUAAUCAGGUCUUGUGUUACUAAGAUUUUUUUUUAAUGAAA
This is a long non-coding RNA of Rhea pennata, 826 nucleotides long. RefSeq lists it as uncharacterized. NCBI's taxonomy places the organism in Eukaryota, Metazoa, Chordata, Aves, Rheiformes, Rheidae. The record is from RefSeq and is a predicted model, not a curated record. The transcript is spliced from 7 exons.